GCUGGGUGUGGUGGUGGGCACCUGUAAUCCCAGCUACUUGGGAGGCCGAGGCAGGAGAAUCGCUUGAACCCAGGAGGCGGAAGUUGCAGUGAGCCGAGAUCUGCACUCCAGCCUGGGUGACAGGGCGAGACUCUGCCUCAA
This is an unclassified non-coding RNA of Macaca fascicularis (crab-eating macaque), 141 nucleotides long. It matches the Rfam family "Metazoan signal recognition particle RNA". From Rfam's summary of the family: The signal recognition particle (SRP) is a universally conserved ribonucleoprotein. It is involved in the co-translational targeting of proteins to membranes. NCBI's taxonomy places the organism in Eukaryota, Metazoa, Chordata, Mammalia, Primates, Cercopithecidae. The record is from Ensembl.